This 77-nucleotide transfer RNA is filed under the name Francisella halioticida. Its description in RNAcentral is "tRNA-Arg". It matches the Rfam family "tRNA". Rfam says of the family: Transfer RNA (tRNA) molecules are approximately 80 nucleotides in length. Lineage: Bacteria; Pseudomonadati; Pseudomonadota; Gammaproteobacteria; Thiotrichales; Francisellaceae. The record is from RNAcentral.
GUUCCCGUAGCUCAGUAGGAUAGAGCGGUCGCCUCCUAAGCGACAGGUCGGAUGUUCGAAUCAUCUCGGGAACGCCA